GACGAACCGUGCGAACGUUGUUCGGAAUCACUGGGCUUAAAGGGCGCGUAGGCGGUCGAGCAAGUCCGGGGUGAAAUCUUUCGGCUUAACCGGAAAAGUGCCUUGGAUACUGCUUGACUUGAGGGAGGUAGGGGCAGCUGGAACUUCCAGUGGAGCGGUGAAAUGCGUUGAUAUUGGAAGGAACGCCGGUGGCGAAAGCGAGCUGCUGGCCCUCUUCUGACGCUGAGGCGCGAAAGCUAGGGGAGCAAACGG
This 252-nucleotide ribosomal RNA is filed under the name uncultured bacterium. RNAcentral's name for it is "partial 16S ribosomal RNA". It matches the Rfam family "Bacterial small subunit ribosomal RNA", at positions 524 to 775 of the family's 1533-position model. The record is from RNAcentral.